AAGCUAGUAAGGUCACUUGCAGACUACAAGUUUGAUAGGUCGGAGGUGUAAGCACAGUAAUGUGUUCAGCUGACCGAUACUAAUUGACCGAGGGCUUGAACUU
The sequence is a non-coding RNA, 103 nucleotides long. It matches the Rfam family "Bacterial large subunit ribosomal RNA", at positions 2822 to 2925 of the family's 2925-position model.